AAGGAGACAAAAUCAGAAACAAAAGAAGAGAAGAGAGCAGAGAAGGAUGAGAAGAUCUUGCCAGAGGAGAAGAACACAACUUCUGUUGCGCUUCCUUGCAUUGAUAAGCUUCGAGACGAGUUGUCUUGUGCAAUUUGUCUUGAGAUUUGUUAUGAACCAAGUACUACAACUUGUGGACACAGGUACAUCUUACUACACAACAAACACCACAAAGUUGUCAUUGUGCGGUGAAUUUGAAAUGGCAAAUAAUGCACAGUUAAUACAGUUCUUUGGAACACAAUCCAGCUUAUGUUCCCUAAAGAAGUGGAAGCAUAGAGAGCUGCUGCUUCUGCUAAUUUCCUAACCAAGGAAACGCCAAGCCCUAGAGACUCUAAUCAGAAGGUAACAAGCAGGAACAGAGAUACGGCGUUUCAAGCUAGGUUGCAGAGAGAGGAUAUCUCGAGGUUACUUGUGUCUGAAGAGAGAAGGAGGAGAGGCGUGAGGUUGGAUCAAGAUAGCGAUGCAGCGUUUGCGUUGCGGUUACAGCGGCAGGAAUUUGCGUCUGCCUUUGGCGGUUGCAGAGGGAUGCAUUGCCUCUUUUCAGUAUGCUAAGAGUAAAAUUUAAGUCUUGCAUAGAUAGAGAACCACAGCUUAACGAGACGCAGAUAACAAACUCAAAGUGGUGAAAACUCCAAAUGCUGUGAAUCCCCUUGUACUUGGUUCUUUUGUAAAGAUGGUCAGUGUGUGCAGAGAGCAGAAGUAAAUGGCAAAUAUAGUAAAAAGUUGGACCAUCAAAAUCACCACACAAUCACGGUCAGUGAAAGAAAGGUGGAAGUGAUGAUGAAGAGUGACCAUUACUUCUUUGAUUUUCUUGGAGUUGGAGCUUUUUGAUUAAUAUUAUGAAGAAUUUGGGUUCAUGAGAAGGGAACUAAUGGUUAGAUAAAGAAAAUUGGUUCAGUUUCUUUUGUUUACCUGGUUAAGUCUUAGCCAUGUUUGUUUAACAUUUUAAUGUGGGCUUUGGUAGAAGUUAGCCGGGUAGGAGUGAAAAAAAAAAGCAAAACAAAAAUUGAAUAA
Molecule: long non-coding RNA, 1053 nt
Organism: Brassica oleracea var. oleracea
Lineage: Eukaryota; Viridiplantae; Streptophyta; Magnoliopsida; Brassicales; Brassicaceae
Exons: 6
Source: RefSeq, a predicted model, not a curated record